Molecule: ribosomal RNA, 1336 nt
Filed under: metagenome
Description: bacterial LSU rRNA
Rfam family: Bacterial large subunit ribosomal RNA
Source: RNAcentral
UCUUUAGAGGGUGUUGAUAGUUUGACUCAACUUUGUAUCAAACUUCCAAGAAAAGCUCGAACUACUGAUAAAUAGGAAUGACCUGUACCCGAAACCGACACAGGUAGGUAGGUAGAGAAUACCAAGGGGCGCGAGAUAACUCUCUCUAAGGAACUCGGCAAAAUGGCCCCGUAACUUCGGGAGAAGGGGUACCCUCUAUUUGAGGGUCGCAGUGACCAGGCCCAGGCGACUGUUUACCAAAAACACAGGUCUCCGCUAAGUCGUAAGACGAUAUAUGGGGGCUGACGCCUGCCCAGUGCCGGAAGGUGAAGGAAGUUGGUGCGAGCUAACGACCGAAGCCCCGGUGAACGGCGGCCGUAACAAUAACGGUCCUAAGGUAGCGAAAUUCCUUGUCGGGUAAGUUCCGACCCGCACGAAAGGCGUAACGAUCUGGGCACUGUCUCGGAGAGAGACUCGGUGAAAUAGACAUGUCUGUGAAGAUGCGGACUACCUGCACCUGGACAGAAAGACCCUAUGAAGCUUGACUGUAGCUUGGAAUUGGGUUUGGGCUCUUCUUGCGCAGCCUAGGUGGGAGGCGUUGAAAAUCUCUUUUCGGAGAGGUUGGAGCCAUCAGUGAGAGACCACUCUGGAGGAGCUAGAAUUCUAAUGGCGAUCCUUGAAUCAGGACGCUUGACAGUUUCAGGUGGGCAGUUUGACUGGGGCGGUCGCCUCAUAAAAGGUAACUGAGGCGUGCAAAGGUUCCCUCAGGCUGGACGGAAAUCAGCCGAAGAGUGUAAAGGCAGAAGGGAGCUUGACUGCAAGACCUACAAGUCGAGCAGGGGCGAAAGCCGGCCUUAGUGAUCCGACGGUACCGCGUGGAAGGGCCGUCGCUCAACGGAUAAAAGUUACUCUAAGGAUAACAGGCUGAUCUUCCCCAAGAGUUCACAUCGACGGGAAGGUUUGGCACCUCGAUGUCGGCUCAUCGCAACCUGGGGCGGUAGUACGUCCCAAGGGUUGGGCUGUUCGCCCAUGAAAGCGGUACGUGAGCUGGGUUCAGAACGUCGUGAGACAGUUCGGUCCAUAUCCGGUGUAGGCGUUAGAGUAUUGAGAGGAGUCUUCCAUAGUACGAGAGGACCUGGAAGAACGCACCAAUAGUAUACCAGUUCUCGUUCCAACGGGAAACGCUGGGUAGCCAAGUGCGGAGUGGAUAACUGCUGAAAGUAUCUAAGUAGGAAGCCCACCUCAAGAUGAGUACUCUCUUAAGGUCACGGCAAGACAAGCCGUUUAAUAGGUAUCAGGUGUAAGGCCAGUAAUGGUUUCAGCUGAGAUACACUAACAGACCGGUCGAUUUUGACAG